This 367-nucleotide ribosomal RNA is filed under the name uncultured bacterium. RNAcentral describes it as "bacterial SSU rRNA". It matches the Rfam family "Bacterial small subunit ribosomal RNA", at positions 29 to 418 of the family's 1533-position model. The record is from RNAcentral.
AGCGAACGCUAGCGGCGGGCCUAACACAUGCAAGUCGAGCGGGGGAGCAAUCCCCAGCGGCGGACGGGUGAGUAACACGUAGGUUAUGUGCCCUUUGGUGGGGAAUAACCGUGGGAAACCAUGGCUAAUUCCGCAUAUCGAGCGAAAUCUUGAAAGCCUUCGGGCGCCAAAGGAGCAACCUGCGGCCCAUUAGCUUGUUGGUAGGGUAACGGCCUACCAAGGCGAUGAUGGGUAGCUGGUCUGAGAGGAUGAUCAGCCACACUGGAACUGAGACACGGUCCAGACUCCUACGGGAGGCAGCAGUGGGGAAUAUUGCGCAAUGGGCGAAAGCCUGACGCAGCCACGUCGCGUGAGUGAUGAAGGCCUU